AACAACCUCCAGCGGUUGCCCAUCCACCCUCACAUCUGUGACCGGUCACACCUUGGCCAGGCUAAUAAGCUUAGCUCACUAACAGUGACCAAUAGGAAGAAAACACACUCCAUACCUCCCAGUGUUACAACCCUGGGGGGGCUGGAUGAACUAUAAGGCCAAAUGAUUAGACCAGAAUGAGUAAAUUCCAAUGAAUCUUGUCACACGAUCCUUUCCCCCUGCACCCAAAAUGGCCAACCGAAGGGAAAUGGAAGUAGCCGAGUAUAUCUGGAGAAGCGUCUCCUCAGACUCCUGGUAAUAAGUUAGAACUCUGUCACACUGAUGUGGCGAGGAGCUUCAGUGAUGUAGUCGUGGACGCCCACCCUGUAGAAGCCUGCGUGGUGCCGAGUGACUGAUUGGACUUCCUUGCUGUAUCAAGGAAAAGCCUGUUCUUUUCCGUGGGCACCGUGAUGACAUCAGUUAGCCGGACAUUGGCUUCUUAGCAACAGCUGGCAGUGUCAGUGGAGCAGAGCAGAGAAGGGAAAAGAAAA
Ornithorhynchus anatinus (platypus) is the source of this 530-nucleotide long non-coding RNA. RefSeq lists it as uncharacterized. NCBI's taxonomy places the organism in Eukaryota, Metazoa, Chordata, Mammalia, Monotremata, Ornithorhynchidae. The record is from RefSeq and is a predicted model, not a curated record. The transcript has 2 exons.